CGCCGACCUCCCUGUGCCAUAGUUUUUCAACUUGAAUGUUUUCCCCGUUUGCAAGGACUUGAAGGAGUGUUAUCUCCCUUGAUUCCCCACUUUGAUGUUAGCAUUAUCUGGAAACAGACCUGAACAUGACAUCAAAAUAGUCAAGAAUAAAAAAAAAUAUCCGAUCGCUCCAGGAAAAUAACCCGCCACUGAAAAGUUCAAAACUUUAGAUAAAGAAAGUAAAGAUUUCGCCCGCUCACUCCAUCAUUUUUAAAAAAAAAAACUUUCUAAAGAACUAGAGAUCAAUUUGGAGUGGCCUAAAGGCAGAUUGUGUAUGUGGUUAAGCUAAAACCACGUUCAUUGUGACACUGUUCACUCAAAUUAUCUCGUGUAUCUUGUUUAAUCCAUGUUUUACAAUAAUCGAGCAGAUCACGUGACAAUAUUGCAAGGUUGCCGCCAUUUUACACUACGUUCUGGACAAAGAAAGAUGGCGUUUUGGGCUUUGUUUCAAGUAGCAAAUAGAUGUCUAUGGGAGGUAUGAAGUUGAAAAGUCAAAAGUUAGUGUAUACCUAGACAAGAAAUGAAGCUAAGAUAGUGUCAGACAUAGUACAGGUCAUGUAACAGAUGGCGUGGACAGAAUGUUGUUGUGGUGGCUUUGUUCAAGUUACAUAUUCUGACAAAGAUGGUAAAGCAGUGGCAGACAGAGUUGUGUGACAUUGUGUAUGUUUCAUUUGUUAGAGCCCAUGCACAGACAGAAGAAAAGCCAAGAAAAAGUUGAAGGUCGUCUGACGUCAUUUUCUAUAUUGUCAAAAACAUAUUGUAUGGGGAGACUGCAUAAAAAUGUGCUGGUAGUCCAAGGAUAUAGUGUUCACAGUGAAAA
Mercenaria mercenaria is the source of this 859-nucleotide long non-coding RNA. RefSeq lists it as uncharacterized. The transcript is spliced from 4 exons. The record is from RefSeq and is a predicted model, not a curated record. Lineage: Eukaryota; Metazoa; Mollusca; Bivalvia; Venerida; Veneridae.